This 312-nucleotide ribosomal RNA is filed under the name uncultured soil bacterium. RNAcentral's name for it is "bacterial SSU rRNA". It matches the Rfam family "Bacterial small subunit ribosomal RNA", at positions 26 to 366 of the family's 1533-position model. The record is from RNAcentral.
AGAACGAACGCUGGCGGCAUGCCUAAUACAUGCAAGUCGAACGAACACUUCGGUGUUAGUGGCGCACGGGUGCGUAACGCGUGGGAAUCUGCCCUUGGGUUCGGAAUAACAGUUGGAAACGACUGCUAAUACCGGAUGAUGACGAAAGUCCAAAGAUUUAUCGCCCAGGGAUGAGCCCGCGUAGGAUUAGCUAGUUGGUGAGGUAAAGGCUCACCAAGGCGACGAUCCUUAGCUGGUCUGAGAGGAUGAUCAGCCACACUGGGACUGAGACACGGCCCAGACUCCGUACGGGAGCAGCGGCAGGGAAUAGUU